This 470-nucleotide ribosomal RNA is filed under the name uncultured bacterium. RNAcentral's name for it is "bacterial SSU rRNA". It matches the Rfam family "Bacterial small subunit ribosomal RNA", at positions 28 to 507 of the family's 1533-position model. The record is from RNAcentral.
GACGAACGCUGGCGGCGUGCUUAACACAUGCAAGUCGAACGAGAAGAGAUGAGAAGCUUGCUUCUUAUUGAUUCGAGUGGCAAACGGGUGAGUAACGCGUGAGGAACCUGCCUUUCAGAGGGGGACAACAGUUGGAAACGACUGCUAAUACCGCAUAACACAUCGGAGUCGCAUGGCUCUGAUGUCAAAGAUUUAUCGCUGAAAGAUGGCCUCGCGUCUGAUUAGCUAGUUGGUGAGGUAACGGCUCACCAAGCCGACGAUCGGUAGCCGGACUGAGAGGUUGAACGGCCACAUUGGGACUGAGACACGGCCCAGACUCCUACGGGAGGCAGCAGUGGGGAAUAUUGCACAAUGGGGGAAACCCUGAUGCAGCGACGCCGCGUGAAGGAAGAAGGUCUUCGGAUCGUAAACUCCUGUUGUUGAGGAAGAUAAUGACGGUACUCAACAAGGAAGUGGCGGCUAACUACGUG